UCGGGAAUUUUGGGCAAUGGGCGAAAGCCUGACCCAGCAACGCCGCGUGAAGGAUGAAGUUUUUCGGAAUGUAAACUUCGUAAAAAUAGGAAGAACAAAUGACGGUACUAUUUGUAAGGUCCGGCUAACUACGUGCCAGCAGCCGCGGUAAUACGUAGGGACCAAGCGUUGUUCGGAUUUACUGGGCGUAAAGGGCGCGUAGGCGGCAAUUCAAGUCAUCUGUGAAAUCUCCGGGCUUAACUCGGAACGGUCAGAUGAUACUGCUUUGCUAGAGUGCAGAAGGGGCAAUCGGAAUUCUUGGUGUAGCGGUGAAAUGCGUAGAUA
RNAcentral lists this ribosomal RNA (324 nucleotides) under uncultured bacterium. RNAcentral describes it as "bacterial SSU rRNA". It matches the Rfam family "Bacterial small subunit ribosomal RNA", at positions 355 to 696 of the family's 1533-position model. The record is from RNAcentral.